Xiphophorus couchianus (Monterrey platyfish) is the source of this 420-nucleotide long non-coding RNA. RefSeq lists it as uncharacterized. The transcript is spliced from 3 exons. Lineage: Eukaryota; Metazoa; Chordata; Actinopteri; Cyprinodontiformes; Poeciliidae. The record is from RefSeq and is a predicted model, not a curated record.
CAAAGGAAAUUGUCAAUAAUCCCAAUGGAUGCUGAAGGGUACAGCGGCAAGCUGCUCCGUUCUGCUUCAAAUAAUGGGAAAAUAGUCCUCUUCCUGGUACCCCUCCAGGACGAACUGGAGACAAGUCCACUUCCAUUUGAUGUGGAGGAGUUUGCCAAAAUGCCUCAGGUGCCCUGUGUAACUUGUGGUAUAACAAUGCCUCUUCAGAUGCUGGCGUUACAUGCUGGGUCUUGCAGAAAAAAAAAAAAAAAUCGGACUGAUCAGACUGAACCUAUAGAGGUUGAUGAGGAUGACUGUGACACAUUGGAGGAGCCCGAAGACACAAUUGAAGAUUUGGAAGAAAGAGAGUGCUGCCGUAUCUGCCAGAGGGAUUUCUUGAAGUCUGUGCUUCCUUAUCAUGCCAGUGAAUGUUGUGGCAGG